Molecule: transfer RNA, 69 nt
Filed under: Echinotriton andersoni (Ryukyu spiny newt)
Lineage: Eukaryota; Metazoa; Chordata; Amphibia; Caudata; Salamandridae
Description: tRNA-His
Rfam family: tRNA
About the family: Transfer RNA (tRNA) molecules are approximately 80 nucleotides in length. Their secondary structure includes four short double-helical elements and three loops (D, anti-codon, and T loops).
Source: RNAcentral
GUGAGUAUAAUUUAAGAAAAAUAUUAGAUUGUGAUUCUAAAAAUGAAAGUUAAACCCUCUCUAUGCACC